RNAcentral lists this ribosomal RNA (474 nucleotides) under uncultured organism. Its description in RNAcentral is "partial 16S ribosomal RNA". It matches the Rfam family "Bacterial small subunit ribosomal RNA", at positions 332 to 797 of the family's 1533-position model. The record is from RNAcentral.
UACACUCCUACGGGAGGCAGCAGUGGGGAAUUUUGGACAAUGGGCGAAAGCCUGAUCCAGCCAUGCCGCGUGCAGGAUGAAGGCCUUCGGGUUGUAAACUGCUUUUGUACGGAACGAAACGGCCUUUUCUAAUAAAGAGGGCUAAUGACGGUACCGUAAGAAUAAGCACCGGCUAACUACGUGCCAGCAGCCGCGGUAAUACGUAGGGUGCAAGCGUUAAUCGGAAUUACUGGGCGUAAAGCGUGCGCAGGCGGUUAUGUAAGACAGUUGUGAAAUCCCCGGGCUCAACCUGGGAACUGCAUCUGUGACUGCAUAGCUAGAGUACGGUAGAGGGGGAUGGAAUUCCGCGUGUAGCAGUGAAAUGCGUAGAUAUGCGGAGGAACACCGAUGGCGAAGGCAAUCCCCUGGACCUGUACUGACGCUCAUGCACGAAAGCGUGGGGAGCAAACAGGAUUAGAUACCCCUGUAGUCCCA